UACGGAGGAUGCGAGCGUUAUCCGGAUUUAUUGGGUUUAAAGGGUGCGUAGGCGGACUGUCAAGUCAGCGGUAAAAUUGAGAGGCUCAACCUCUUUCCGCCGUUGAAACUGGUGGUCUUGAGUGGAUGAGAAGUACGCGGAAUGCGUGGUGUAGCGGUGAAAUGCAUAGAUAUCACGCAGAACUCCGAUUGCGAAGGCAGCGUACCGGCAUCCAACUGACGCUGAGGCACGAAAGCGUGGGGAUCAAACAGG
This 252-nucleotide ribosomal RNA is filed under the name uncultured bacterium. RNAcentral describes it as "partial 16S ribosomal RNA". It matches the Rfam family "Bacterial small subunit ribosomal RNA", at positions 524 to 776 of the family's 1533-position model. The record is from RNAcentral.